GGUGGCAGAAAUGAAGGCGUGCAUUAAAACAAACACAGGUUCAGGUUUGUUCCUGUCUGUUAAAGGUUUGUGUGAUGGUGAGGGGGGUUUAACGGACCCAGAGCUGGUCAACACUGAACCACAUCAAAGACAGCCAGAGCUCUGUGUUACCCCCCGUCUGGACAGGUUUAAUAAACCAGGCCUGAACAUCUACACUGUUGCCUGUUAUUUUCCAGAGAAAACACACAAAGUGACCAGGUGUAAAAAGGCACUAUGAUGUGUUUUUGGAGAUGUUUGGCAGAAACUUCAAAAUGCUCAUUACUGUAUAAAGCUUAUGAAUGACCCAUGGGGAGGCGACCUACUGAUGUUCAGGGUUUAGACAUCACCGCACAGCCCGCGAUUCUCACGAGAUGUUCAGACAGAAGCCCGAGGCCACAGGCUUAUUCGGAGGAAACAGUGGGCCCUCAACCAGUGCAACUGCUUUAGCCCGGCACUGCCCUUUCAGCUCAAUCGACAAUGACAGAUUCCUGGCCUCAGAUUGCCAGCUGGCACACAAGGAGAGAGAGAGAGAGAGAGAGAGGCUGCUGCUACAUAACGUAAAGAUCGCUCUUUAUAUCCAAUAUAUACAGCUGGGGAAAUGUAUUUAUUAUGACUCAACUUGUAUACUUAAAUGUUCUGAUUUCUUUCUUUGUAUGAACUCAAUAUUUGGCUUGAUGGCUACAUCAUAUCCUAUAUAAAGAAUGAAAAUAUAACCUUGAUAACUUUAAUAUUGACUGAAUUAAUGUGAAAUUAAACUUUGAUGCCCCAGAUUUUAUCAUUAGAUUAUGAGACUUUAGUCUGGAUUUCACAGACAGGGUCACAUUUGUUUUCUCCUGUCCAGAUGAAGCACGGUAAGAGUGAGUAAAUAUAAUUUGUUUCUUACAAUGAACAAUCCAUUUAAAACCAAUAAGGCAUUCAAAUAAAUGUUAAUUUCAUAAUUUGAUUCUCGUGUGUCAUUAAGGUGAUUCUCGUGUGUCUUAAUAAGAACCUUUAGGGUCAAUCACGCACAGCUAACGCAAAUAGCAAAUGCAAACAAACCAUCAAGUGAAUUGCACGCUCCAUUUGCCCUCGUCGUCCCUUUAUUCUGCACCUAUAGAGUAAAUCCAGCUCUCACUGAGAGACACACCACAGUCUCACUGCUCCAGCUGAGUGAAUUUACAUGGACUCAGGCUGCAGAUUAUAUAGUACGUUAUCCACUGAAAGGGAUGUGCACCGUCUAGGAAAAAAUCAAUCAAGAUUAGUUUAGCCACCUCUCAAUGGAGCACUGUGAAGCUCCUCAGGGGGUUAACUACCAAUCCCAGAGAUGGUCAGGGAUACGAUAUGAGAUACGGCACAUUGUAAUGUUAUGCACUCUCUCGAUUCUCUUUCUAAAUAUACACACGC
Molecule: long non-coding RNA, 1401 nt
Organism: Misgurnus anguillicaudatus (oriental weatherfish)
Lineage: Eukaryota; Metazoa; Chordata; Actinopteri; Cypriniformes; Cobitidae
Source: RefSeq, a predicted model, not a curated record